Molecule: ribosomal RNA, 949 nt
Filed under: uncultured bacterium
Lineage: Bacteria
Description: bacterial SSU rRNA
Rfam family: Bacterial small subunit ribosomal RNA
Source: RNAcentral
GGGCCCACGAUCGGAUAAUUGGGCGUAAAGGGCACGCAGGCGGUCCUGCAUGUGGUGGGUGACAGCUCCUAGCUUAACUAGGAGAGUGCCUUCCAAACGACAGGACUUGAGAGCGAGAGAGGGAUACGGAACUCCAGGUGAAGCAGUGAAAUGCGUAGAGAUCUGGAAGAACACCAAAGGCGAAGGCAGUAUCCUGGCUCGUCUCUGACGCUCAGGUGCGAAAGCUAGGGGAGCAAACAGGAUUAGAUACCCUGGUAGUCCUAGCUGUAAACCAUGACCACUAGGCGUGGGAGGUAUCGACCCCUUCCGUGCCGUAGGUAACCUGUUAAGUGGUCCGCCUGGGGAGUACGGUCGCAAGACUAAAACUCAAAGGAAUUGACGGGGACCCGCACAAGCAGCGGAGCGUGUGGUUUAAUUCGAUGCAACGCGAAGAACCUUACCAGGGUUUGACAUGCGUGCGACAUCCCUUGAAAGAGGGUUCCCUUCGGGGCGCAUGCACAGGUGCUGCAUGGCUGUCGUCAGCUCGUGCCGUGAGGUGUCUGGUUAAGUCCUCUAACGAGCGCAACCCCUAUGGCUAGUUGAAUCUUUCUAGUCAGACUGCCACCACAAAGUGGAGAAAGGUGGGGAUGACGUCAAGUCAGCACGGCCCUUACAUCCUGGGCGACACACACGCUACAAUGGCCGAGACAAUGGGGAGCCAACCCGCGAGGGGGAGCCAAUCCCAGCAAACUCGGUCUCAGUUCGGAUUGCAGGCUGCAACCCGCCUGCAUGAAGUCGGAAUCGCUAGUAAUCGCGGAUCAGCAUGCCGCGGUGAAUACGUUCCCGGGUCUUGUACACACCGCCCGUCACACCAUGGGAGUGGGGUGCACCAGAAGUAGGUAGGCUAACCGCAAGGAGGCCGCUUACCACGGUACGCUUCAUGACUGGGGUGAAGUCGUAACAAGGUAAC